Molecule: ribosomal RNA, 328 nt
Filed under: Ctenophora environmental sample
Lineage: Eukaryota; Metazoa; Ctenophora
Description: partial Bacterial small subunit ribosomal RNA
Rfam family: Bacterial small subunit ribosomal RNA
Source: RNAcentral
GUGUUUGAUCCUAGCUCAGAGUGAACGCUGGUGGUAUGCCUAACACAUGCAAGUCGAGCGAAGGGAGCUUUUUGUUCCUUUAGCGGCAAACGAGCGAGUAUAAGAUAGGAAUCCGCCCUACAGUUUGGAAUAGCCAUUGGAAACGAUGGGUAAUACCGAAUAUUACCAUUUAUGGGAAAGCCUUGUGUGCUGUAGGAAGAGCCUAUCCCCGAUUAGUUAGUUGGUGAAGUAAUGGUUUACCAAGAUGAUGAUCGGUAGCCGGUAUGAGAGUAUGAUCGGCCGCGCCGGAACUGAGAUACGGUCCGGACUCCUACGGGAGGCAGCAGUG